AAAAAGAAAAACCUGCAGAAAUAUUUCUGCAGGUCCCUUUGUUUUCCUUUUAGAAAACAAAAAGGCAAAGGGAGAGGAGAAACCGAAGAAGAUCUUAUGGGGAAGUGUAAGUCUUCUUCGAGU
Molecule: regulatory RNA element, 123 nt
Organism: Virgibacillus sp. SK37
Lineage: Bacteria; Bacillati; Bacillota; Bacilli; Caryophanales; Bacillaceae
Rfam family: ylbH leader
About the family: This family is a putative regulatory RNA structure that is found upstream of the ylbH gene in B. subtilis and related low GC Gram-positive bacteria.
Source: Rfam